AAUGAACGCUGGCGGCGUGGAUUAGGCAUGCAAGUCGAACGGGGUAGCAAUACCCAGUGGCGACCUGGACAGUACAAGUUGGGUAACUUGCCCGAAAGUGGGGAACAACGUCCCGAAAGGGGCGCUAAUACCGCAUGUGGUCACGGGGUCCUCGGACUCUUUGACUAAAGCAGCAAUGCGCUUUCGGAUGGGCCCGACUCCCAUUAGCUAGUUGGCGAGGUAAUAGCUCACCAAGGCUACGAUGGGUAGGUGGUCUGAGAGGAUGGACACCGUCACGAGGACUGAGAUACGGCCUCGACUCCUACGGGGGGCAGCAGUCUAGAAGCUUCGGCAAUGGGCGAAAGCCUGACCGAGCGACGCCGCGUGGAGGAUGAAGGUCUUCGGAUUGUAAACUCCUUUCGGCGGGAAAGAACGUCUGGGUGGCGAACUCAGGCUUGACUGACCCGCGGAAGAAGCCCCCGGCUAACUCUGUGCCAGCAGCCGCGGUAAU
This 490-nucleotide ribosomal RNA is filed under the name uncultured bacterium. RNAcentral describes it as "bacterial SSU rRNA". It matches the Rfam family "Bacterial small subunit ribosomal RNA", at positions 29 to 524 of the family's 1533-position model. The record is from RNAcentral.